GGAAGGGUGCGAGAGCGGCUGAAUCGGCGCGACUGGAAAUCGCGUAGGGUCGCAAGAUCCUCGAGGGUUCAAAUCCCUCCCCUUCCG
This 87-nucleotide transfer RNA is filed under the name Elusimicrobiota bacterium. RNAcentral describes it as "Elusimicrobia bacterium (activated sludge metagenome) tRNA-Ser". It matches the Rfam family "tRNA". Rfam says of the family: Transfer RNA (tRNA) molecules are approximately 80 nucleotides in length. Lineage: Bacteria; Pseudomonadati; Elusimicrobiota. The record is from RNAcentral.